This 537-nucleotide ribosomal RNA is filed under the name Erysiphe hypophylla. RNAcentral describes it as "eukaryotic LSU rRNA". It matches the Rfam family "Eukaryotic large subunit ribosomal RNA", at positions 102 to 651 of the family's 3401-position model. Lineage: Eukaryota; Fungi; Ascomycota; Leotiomycetes; Helotiales; Erysiphaceae. The record is from RNAcentral.
UAACAGCUCAAAUUUGAAAUCUGGCUCCUCCGGAGUCCGAGUUGUAAUUUGUAGAAGAUGCUUUGGGUUGUGGGUUCGGCCUAAGUUCCUUGGAACAGGACGUCAUAGAGGGUGAGAAUCCCGUAUGUGGCCGCGGCCCGCGCCUAUGUAAAGCUCUUUCAACGAGUCGAGUUGUUUGGGAAUGCAGCUCAAAAUGGGUGGUAAAUUUCAUCUAAAGCUAAAUAUGGGCCAGAGACCGAUAGCGCACAAGUAGAGUGAUCGAAAGAUGAAAAGCACUUUGGAAAGAGAGUUAAACAGUACGUGAAAUUGUUGAAAGGGAAGCGCUUGCAACCAGACUUGGGCGCUGCCGAUCACCCCGAGUUCUCUCGAGUGCACUCGACAGCGCACAGGCCAGCAUCGGUUCGGGUGGCUGGAUAAAGGCCGUGGGAACGUGGCUCCCCUCGGGGAGUGUUAUAGCCUACGGUGCCAUGCAGCCCAGCCGGACCGAGGACCGCGCCUUCGGGCUAGGAUGCUGGCGUAAUGGUUGUAAGCGACCCG